This 253-nucleotide ribosomal RNA is filed under the name uncultured bacterium. Its description in RNAcentral is "partial 16S ribosomal RNA". It matches the Rfam family "Bacterial small subunit ribosomal RNA", at positions 524 to 776 of the family's 1533-position model. The record is from RNAcentral.
UACGAAGGGGGCUAGCGUUGUUCGGAAUUACUGGGCGUAAAGCGCGCGCAGGCGGUCCUUCAAGUCAGAGGUGAAAGCCCAGAGCUCAACUCUGGAACGGCCUUUGAGACUAGAGGACUUGGGUACGGGAGAGGUGAGUGGAAUUACGAGUGUAGAGGUGAAAUUCGUAGAUAUUCGGAAGAACACCAGUGGCGAAGGCGGCUCACUGGCCCGUUACCGACGCUCAGACGCGACAGCGUGGGGAGCAAACAGG